CGGAACCCGGCUCCCGUAGGAGUCCGGGUGAAGUCUUCCUUGUGGACGGAACCCGGCUCCCGUAGGAGUCCGGGUGAAGUCUUCCUUGUGGGCGAAACCCGGCUCCCGUAGGAGUCUGGGUGAAGUCUUCUUUGUGGGCGGAACUCGGCUCCCGUAGGAGUCCGGGUGAAGUCUUCCUUGUGGGCAGAACCCGGCUCCCGUGGGAGUCCGGGUGAAGUCUUCCUUGUGGACGGAACCCGGCUCCCGUAGGAGUCUGGGUGAAGUCUUCCUU
Molecule: long non-coding RNA, 271 nt
Filed under: Elaeis guineensis (African oil palm)
Lineage: Eukaryota; Viridiplantae; Streptophyta; Magnoliopsida; Arecales; Arecaceae
Description: long non-coding RNA (EGUI_LNC068952)
Source: RNAcentral